UGUCCACACCCAGAAAACAACCUAUGAACAGUGUCCUCUCCACAGUUCCUGAACACACUGACUCUAAACAUGGAAUGGAACUGGAUCUUUCUCUUCCUCCUUUCAGUAACUGCAGGUGUCCACACCCAGAUUCAGCUACAGCAGCCUGGGGCUGAGUUGGUGAUGCCUGGAGCUUCAGUGAAGCUGUCCUGCAAGACUUCUGGCUACACCUUCACUGACUAUGGAAUGCACUGGGUGAAGCAGACACCCUCACAUGGCCUGGAAUGGAUUGGAGCUAUUGAUCCUGAAAGUGGUGGUACUGCCUACAAUCAGAAGUUCAAGGGCAAGGCCACACUGACUGCAGACACAUCCUCCAGCACAGCCUACAUGGAGCUCAGAACCCUGGCAUCUGAUGACUCUGUGGUCUAUUACUGUGCUAGACACAGUGUAAUAACCACAUCCUGAGUGUGUCAAAAACCC
This is a non-coding RNA of Apodemus sylvaticus (European woodmouse), 459 nucleotides long. The record is from the annotation of a RefSeq genome assembly. Lineage: Eukaryota; Metazoa; Chordata; Mammalia; Rodentia; Muridae.